AGGGGUAUAGCUCAGCUGGUAGAGCAGCGGUCUCCAAAACCGCAGGUCGGGAGUUCGAGUCUCUCUGCCCCUG
RNAcentral lists this transfer RNA (73 nucleotides) under Chthonomonas calidirosea. RNAcentral's name for it is "tRNA-Trp". It matches the Rfam family "tRNA". From Rfam's summary of the family: Transfer RNA (tRNA) molecules are approximately 80 nucleotides in length. Their secondary structure includes four short double-helical elements and three loops (D, anti-codon, and T loops). Further hydrogen bonds mediate the characteristic L-shaped molecular structure. tRNAs have two regions of fundamental functional importance: the anti-codon, which is responsible for specific mRNA codon recognition, and the 3' end, to which the tRNAs corresponding amino acid is attached (by aminoacyl-tRNA synthetases). tRNAs cope with the degeneracy of the genetic code in two manners: having more than one tRNA (with a specific anti-codon) for a particular amino acid; and 'wobble' base-pairing, i.e. permitting non-standard base-pairing at the 3rd anti-codon position. The record is from RNAcentral. RNAcentral also lists the same sequence under 1 other name. Lineage: Bacteria; Bacillati; Armatimonadota; Chthonomonadia; Chthonomonadales; Chthonomonadaceae.